GAGUUUGAUCCUGACUCAGAAUCAACGCUGGCGGCGUGCCUAACACAUGCAAGUCGAACGCGAAAGUCCCGCAAGGGAUCAGUAGAGUGGCAAACGGGUGAGUAACACGUGGGUGACCUGCCUUCGAGCGGGGGAUAACGUCCCGAAAGGGACGCUAAUACCGCAUGACAUCCUGCCUUUGAAGAGGUGGAGAUCAAAGCCGGGGAUCGCAAGACCUGGCACUCGAAGAGGGGCCCGCGUCCGAUUAGCUAGUUGGUGGGGUAACGGCUCACCAAGGCAACGAUCGGUAGCCGGCCUGAGAGGGCGGAUGGCCACACUGGGACUGAGACACGGCCCAGACUCCUACGGGAGGCAGCAGUGGGGAAUUGUUCGCAAUGGGCGCAAGCCUGACGACGCAACGCCGCGUGGAGGAUGAAGACCUUCGGGUCGUAAACUCCUUUCGAUCGAGACGAAUUCCCCUGGGGUGAACAUCCCCGGGGGUCGACGGUACCGAGAGAAGAAGCCCCGGCUAACUCC
Molecule: ribosomal RNA, 516 nt
Filed under: uncultured bacterium
Lineage: Bacteria
Description: bacterial SSU rRNA
Rfam family: Bacterial small subunit ribosomal RNA
Source: RNAcentral